CGUGGGAAGUCUGUUGGUAGACGGCAUGGUCUCAUAAGCCAUUGCAACGAGAGUUCGAUUCUCUCUCCCGCAACCA
This 76-nucleotide transfer RNA is filed under the name Polaromonas sp. P1-6. Its description in RNAcentral is "tRNA-Met". It matches the Rfam family "tRNA". Rfam says of the family: Transfer RNA (tRNA) molecules are approximately 80 nucleotides in length. Their secondary structure includes four short double-helical elements and three loops (D, anti-codon, and T loops). Further hydrogen bonds mediate the characteristic L-shaped molecular structure. tRNAs have two regions of fundamental functional importance: the anti-codon, which is responsible for specific mRNA codon recognition, and the 3' end, to which the tRNAs corresponding amino acid is attached (by aminoacyl-tRNA synthetases). tRNAs cope with the degeneracy of the genetic code in two manners: having more than one tRNA (with a specific anti-codon) for a particular amino acid; and 'wobble' base-pairing, i.e. permitting non-standard base-pairing at the 3rd anti-codon position. Lineage: Bacteria; Pseudomonadati; Pseudomonadota; Betaproteobacteria; Burkholderiales; Comamonadaceae. The record is from RNAcentral.